AUUGAACGCUGGCGGCAUGCCUUACACAUGCAAGUCGAACGGCAGCACGGGAGCAAUCCUGGUGGCGAGUGGCGAACGGGUGAGUAAUACAUCGGAACGUGCCCAAUCGUGGGGGAUAACGCAGCGAAAGCUGUGCUAAUACCGCAUACGAUCUACGGAUGAAAGCAGGGGAUCGCAAGACCUUGCGCGAAUGGAGCGGCCGAUGGCAGAUUAGGUAGUUGGUGAGGUAAAGGCUCACCAAGCCGUUGAUCUGUAGCUGGUCUGAGAGGACGACCAGCCACACUGGGACUGAGACACGGCCCAGACUCCUACGGGAGGCAGCAGUGGGGAAUUUUGGACAAUGGGCGAAAGCCUGAUCCAGCCAUGCCGCGUGCAGGAUGAAGGCCUUCGGGUUGUAAACUGCUUUUGUACGGAACGAAACGGCCUUUUCUAAUAAAGAGGGCUAAUGACGGUACCGUAAGAAUAAGCACCGGCUAACUACGUGCCAGCAGCCGCGGUAAUACGUAGGGUGCAAGCGUUAAUCGGAAUUACUGGGCGUAAAGCGUGCGCAGGCGGUUAUGUAAGACAGUUGUGAAAUCCCCGGGCUCAACCUGGGAACUGCAUCUGUGACUGCAUAGCCAGAGUACGGUAGAGGGGGAUGGAAUUCCGCGUGUAGCAGUGAAAUGCGUAGAUAUGCGGAGGAACACCGAUGGCGAAGGCAAUCCCCUGGACCUGUACUGACGCUCAUGUACGAAAGCGUGGGGAGCAAACAGG
Molecule: ribosomal RNA, 753 nt
Filed under: uncultured Comamonadaceae bacterium
Lineage: Bacteria; Pseudomonadati; Pseudomonadota; Betaproteobacteria; Burkholderiales; Comamonadaceae
Description: bacterial SSU rRNA
Rfam family: Bacterial small subunit ribosomal RNA
Source: RNAcentral